This 255-nucleotide ribosomal RNA is filed under the name uncultured Tepidanaerobacter sp. RNAcentral's name for it is "partial 16S ribosomal RNA". It matches the Rfam family "Bacterial small subunit ribosomal RNA", at positions 796 to 1041 of the family's 1533-position model. The record is from RNAcentral. Lineage: Bacteria; Bacillati; Bacillota; Clostridia; Thermosediminibacterales; Tepidanaerobacteraceae.
CUAGCUGUAAACGAUGGUUACUAGGUGUGGGUGGGUUCAAACCAUCCGUGCCGGAGCUAACGCAAUAAGUAACCCACCUGGGGAGUACGGCCGCAAGGCUGAAACUCAAAGGAAUUGACGGGGGCCCGCACAAGCGGUGGAGCAUGUGGUUUAAUUCGAAGCAACGCGAAGAACCUUACCAGGCCUUGACAUAUAGGUGGUAGAGACCUGAAAAGUGAUCGACCUAUUGGAAACAUUAGGAGCCUAUACAGGUGG